UCCGUAGGCGGAUUGAUAAGUCAGAGGUGAAAUCCCACAGCUUAACUGUGGAACUGCCUUUGAAACUGUUAGUCUUGAGUUAUAUGGAAGUAGAUAGAAUGUGUAGUAUAGCGGUGAAAUGCAUAGAGAUUACACAGAAUACCGAUUGCGAAGGCAGUCUACUACGUAUAUACUGACGCUAAUGGACGAAAGCGUGGGGAGCGAACAGGAUUAGAUACCCUGGUAGUCC
This 229-nucleotide ribosomal RNA is filed under the name uncultured bacterium. RNAcentral's name for it is "partial 16S ribosomal RNA". It matches the Rfam family "Bacterial small subunit ribosomal RNA", at positions 568 to 796 of the family's 1533-position model. The record is from RNAcentral.